GAGUGGACGAACCUCUGGUGUUCGGGUUGUCAUGCCAAUGGCAUUGCCCGGUAGCUAAGUUCGGAAUCGAUAACCGCUGAAAGCAUCUAAGCGGGAAGCGAGCCUUGAGAUGAGUUUUCCCUGGCACUAUAAGUGUCCUAAAGGGUUGUCGUAGACUACGACGUUGAUAGGCAGGGUGUGUAAGUGCUGCGAGGCAUUGAGCUAACCUGUACUAAUUGCCCGUGAGGCUUAACCAUACAACACCCAAGGGGUUU
This 254-nucleotide ribosomal RNA is filed under the name Vibrio cyclitrophicus. RNAcentral describes it as "partial 23S ribosomal RNA". It matches the Rfam family "Bacterial large subunit ribosomal RNA", at positions 2695 to 2925 of the family's 2925-position model. Lineage: Bacteria; Pseudomonadati; Pseudomonadota; Gammaproteobacteria; Vibrionales; Vibrionaceae. The record is from RNAcentral.